CGGGCACCUUACCCACACUGAGCCAGUCAGAAUUCUCUGUGCCGGAACUUCCGUUUCUCUCGCAGACUGAGAGAGUGGGCUUGAGACCUGCUGGUGGCCUGGUUUCCAUUCAUUACGGAGGAGACCAUUAGGAGACAAUGAAAUGGACACACUAAAGAAUGGAUGAAAGAUGAGAUGAGAGAGACUGGAAAAGGGUCUGGCUUGGCGCAGUUGCCCCCGAAGGCCCGGCUACGCGCCAGCUCUUCCCCAACUUUUAGGAGCCAAUACUCCCUCCUUUUGUCUAAACUAGUUAGCGGGCGGGUCUGUUGUUUACAACCACACAGAUGUCAGUUAAUACAGUUGGGAGAUGGGACCAAGAGCGAUCAGGGAGUUGCAACCCUGAAAGUAAUGAUUGAGACAUUUAUUGAACGCCACAUGUUUUUGACUUCGAGCAAGCUUUGUUCACAUUCCUAUGUGAGUCACUAUAGCCGGGAUAACCGGCCCUCUCUCAGGGUCAACGGAAGUUAAAUGAAUAAAUGAAUACGCCUCUUUUGGUCCCCACCUAGUCUCCCCGGCCAGGUUCCUUGGUGCCUGCCUGAAAUGACUUCCUUUAAACAUGCCCUUGCCUGCCCUGGCCCACUGUUGCUGACUUUGGCCUGGCUGCAUUUGACUUCUGCCUCUCCCAGAGUAAGAUCCUUGCUAACUUUGUCCCGCCACUUCAUUCCCUGUCUUGGCAACCAUCCCAGCCCUGCCUUGUCCCUCAGGGACACUUUCCCUGUUAAGCGGGAUUCACAUAAAUCUUGGGUUUCACAGAAGGCUAGUCCCUCAGGACAACUGCCUGUGGCUGCAUUUGAAAUUCAGAGUGGCCUCAUCGAGAGAAAUUUCCCUUAACUGUGUCUAAAAAUUUCAAAGGGCCAGAGCCCACUCACCCACCCCACUGCCCAAACAGAGCUUUGCAGAAAGAGGCCCUGGCUUCUCUUCCGCCCCUGGGACCCUUUGCCCCACUGGCCCUGAGAAUUUGGGCAAGAGACUAAAGCCUCCUCAAGACUCAGUAUCCUCAUUUGUAAAAUGAAAGCGAUGGCGCCUUCCUCGGAGAACUCGCGGGAGGAGGGGUUGAGACCACCCACGUAAAGCAAUUAGCACAAAGCGUGGCGCAGACUAAGUGCUGGGCAGUGGCCCAGCUGCUGCUAUUAAUGGCACAAAAGUCCAGCUUUUUGGCCUUUUUAGGCCUGUGUGGCUGAGCUUCUACUCCUGCUGGAUAAGGUGUGACAGCGGCCCUGCCUCUGUCCUUCAGGCACUUUGAAAUCCUUUCCGCGACGACAAGGUCCUACCUAAUCUGGUGCCAACCUGCCUACCUCCUAGACUUCAUCUCCUUUUGCCCUUGAGGCCUGCCGGCCUUCUAGCUGUUCUCCAAGGAUGCCAAGCGCCCUCCUGGCACGUGGCAUUUGCUCCGGCUGUUCCCACUGCCUGGAACUCUUUUCCCCUACAUGCCUAUGGUUCACCCUACUCCUGUCUCUGCUCAAAUGUCCCCUCUUCAGAGAGGCCUGCCAUGGUCAUCCUGUCUCAGAGUGCCUCCUCCCUUCAUGGCCUCCUACCCUCUCGGUCCAUUUCUCCUGCUUUAAUUGCAUCACAGCCCUUGACACUUUCCUGAAAUAAACGUCUUUAUUGUCUAAUUCUGAGGUCACAGUGUAAACCUCCUGAGGGCGGGGGCUCCUGGGUGCAGAAUGCCCAGGGCCUGGAACAAUGAGGCCUGUGAGACUCUCUCCGCCCUUCAAUGACUGUGAUUCCCCACUGGGGUGCUAGACCUCUAAGGUGCAAAGUUAUAAUUUCAUGUGGGGCCUCCAGCAAGUUCAAGUGGAGUUUCCUCCUCUUGUUCAAAAAGAGAAAAAGAAAAAAUGGGAAGAAAGGCCUCGGCCGUGUACUCUGAUCAAGAAAGGCCAGACGGGUUCGUUUUGCUUCCCUCGCGCAGAAAACAGACUGUCGUCUGGCCAGGCAAAGCAACGCCACUGCCAGUGUGGCCUUCACUUACUCUGAAACACACGUGCGGGACGGGCUGGCUGUAAAAGAAUAUGGACCAGAGGCUGCCUGCACUCAUGUCCCCUGAUGCCUGGAGAAAGCCCACCUACAGGAUACGAGAAAGAAGCAAGCACCCAGGAGGAUAAAGAAGGACAUGGUGACAUCGGAGUUCCUGGAUCCAACUGUCCUGGAGAUACCAUCUACUCUUGCCCAUAAUGGUUCUGCUUGGUUUCUGUCACUUGCAACACGUGACACUCAUCGUCUCCCUUCAUGUGGUGGCUGUGAGAUUACAAGAGAUCUUCCAUACCAAGUGCUUAGUGAAUGAUCAGCGCGUUGUAGGUAUUACUACUGCUGUCGGUCCCUGCCCGUGAUGUCCUCAGCACCACCCAGCUCUGCCUCCAGCUCCCACCUUGGUCAGUGCCUCCUCAUGCCCCUGGUCUACCUGGCUGAAACUCUAGAACCAUAUUCCUUUCCUUCAUUCUACACUGCUCAUCCCGAGCCCAGCCCAUUUGUCCCAGAUGGUUUUCCUCAGGUCUUUCCUUCCUCCUUGUUCCAAUGGCCACUGCCCCAGCCUGAGUCAUUCAUUCGCACACUCAACAAACCUCAACGGAGGACAUAUUACAGGCUGGGCAAUGCGCUGGUCCUGUGGACGAUCAGCAAAUAAGACAGACAUCCUCCCCCUGACACUCUCUCCUCUGUCUUGGCCCUCCUUGAGUACCUGUCAGACCAACUGUCCUUGAACUCUACUUUCAUGUUACUCUUCUUCUUCUUCACAUCCCUGGUUCCCUACUUCCUACCUCAUCAAAUCUCAGUGGCAAUGCUUGGCCUUCACAAGUCAUCCAGAAGCUGCCUCCAAAUAGUAAUGAUAGAACAAUACCUUUAACAGAAGGAGAAGCAGCCACUGCGGCAGAAACUGGGCUAGUCACAGGCAUCGACUUGCUUAAAGCCUCACAACCUGAGGUUCCAGGGCUGAUGAUAACAGGCACCAGCCAUCAGGGAGGACCCUGGUGCCGUGCUGGGCUGGGCAAAGCAGCUCUGUUCGGAGCCAUCCAGAAAGGUGGGCACACCGUCUUCGGCUCGACAAAUGCGUAAGGCACAUUUGGGUGAAGGGUGUUGCCCGGCAUCCCUCAGCUGAUAAAGAGCAGCACCAGGAUUCAAACCCAGCAGCCCCUAAUCCAGGGCCUUCGCCCCAUCCCAGGGGGCAUCACUAAAAUCCCCACUGCACAACCAGGUUCCUUCCCGCAACUUAAAUAGGCCACACUCCUGCUCACCUCAUUCAACCACUCCUGCAGUCAUCGGUCGAGGCCUCCCUUUUGAACCAUGACCUGUGUAAGAGGAGGGACCUCCACAGGGGGAGAGACGAUGCCAUUUCUGCUCGUGGCGCUAUCCCCGGGGCUUGGCCCACACAUUACCCAGCACGUCACGGUACACAGCAAAUAUUUGCUGAAUGAAUGAAUCCAUACAAAGAGGCACUGGAAAGAACCAACGGCUGAUUCGAUGUUUAAGACCCUGGAGCCACGGGGCAGUGUGGGCUGCAGUGUUGUUUGUGGUGGUGGUUAAUGUUUAAUACUCAUCUGAGCCACCGGGCCAGGCCUGAAUUCGCACUAGACACAUGGAGAGUCUGGAUUCCCUACAGAGUAGCCACCUUGGCGUCAGGGGAACUCCGGAUUAGAAUCCCAGCUCUGUGAUCUCGGGCGUUUAGCUUCUGUGAGCCUCAGUUCCGUUCUCUGCGAUUGCCGGGUUGUGUCAAUGGAGAGCAUUCCUCACCACCCUUUCACGUAGGGACUCCAGGUUACUUCUCCUGCUCAAAGAUGUUUGAGAUUCAGGUAACUCGUGAAACCGGAAAGAACCUCAAAGAAUUCAUGGAUCAGGGAAUCUUGAGCUGGAUAACUUCGAAAAUCUUUGCUCUCCAAGACCUUGGGCUCUGCUAAUUUAGAGGUCUUCAUAUGCUCAGGAAGAAUGUUUCCACCAGAGCAAAUCGCAGAGAUCCCACUUAUUUGGAAACCGAGACCAAUUUCAGACUGGCCAUUUCAGACUCCACAUGCCCUGGAUGAACAGGGGAAAAAAAGCAAGCGGUCAGAGGGUUGUUCUGUGUUGGCUGGAGUGAUUGAUUCUGGUUGUCAAGGGGGAAAUAUAGUUGCUGCUGCAUAGUGGGGACAGGGAGAUGUGUGUCUCUGGAUCCCCUGAAAUCCUCUGGGGUGCUUUCUAAUUCCAAGGCUGGUGGUAAAAGUCAAUGGAAGAGGACAGCAAACCAGAAUGAGCAGGACAACUGUGGUCUCAAGUUCCUCCUGAAUGAAGCUCAGAUCAUCCUAGGAGGAGUCCAGUGGAUACUGAGGCUGCCGUAAGGUUGCAAGAUCAGCCAAGACCUCCAGCUCGAGAUUCUCAAAAAAUUACAACAGGCUCCUGGUUCUCAGUGAUUGGCUUAAGAUUAAAUGAAUGUAUACGUUUGAACCAAGAAGACACAUGCACUAAUAAAGCACUGACCUCUUCUGUUU
Felis catus (domestic cat) is the source of this 4490-nucleotide long non-coding RNA. RefSeq lists it as uncharacterized. The transcript has 4 exons. Lineage: Eukaryota; Metazoa; Chordata; Mammalia; Carnivora; Felidae. The record is from RefSeq and is a predicted model, not a curated record.